Molecule: long non-coding RNA, 331 nt
Organism: Mauremys mutica (yellowpond turtle)
Lineage: Eukaryota; Metazoa; Chordata; Testudines; Geoemydidae
Exons: 3
Source: RefSeq, a predicted model, not a curated record
GAAAGAAUUCUCCUGACAGCACAUCUCCAGCCCUCUGGUGGCUAGCAAACAGGGGACCGCAAACAGGGGAGUUUGAGAGGGGGAGAAGGAGAUUCCCACUGCUGAACGAAAAAGGUGCGAGUACUAACUUUGGGGAUGCUGUUCCGGGAAGAAGGACUGCUAAGCAGAGAUGAGGUCCACCUAUCAGGGAAGGGGAAGUGCAUAUUUGGAUACAGACUGGCUAACCUAGUGAGGAAGGCUUUAAACUACGUUUGAAGGGAGCAGGUGAUCAAAGCCCACAGGGAAAAGAGUCACAAAGUCUGCCAGCAACCAAAAGCAGAGAGGAAGAACA